AGGCCAGCUCGGGGUGACUUAACAGGUGAAGUCUGUCACUGGGCUGAUGGUUAUCAUCUCAAUGUCAGGCUCUACGAGAAACUUCUUGUUAGUGUCUUUGAUAUGUUAGAUGAGGGAAAGUUGACUGAGGAGGUAGAAGAAAUCCUCGAACUCUUGAAGUCAACCUGGCGUGUCCUUGGAAUCACAGAGACCAUCCAUUACACUUGCUUUACUUGGGUACUGUUUCGCCAGUUUGUUAUUACAUCCGAGCAAGGCAUGCUGCA
This 263-nucleotide unclassified non-coding RNA is filed under the name Hevea brasiliensis (rubber tree). Lineage: Eukaryota; Viridiplantae; Streptophyta; Magnoliopsida; Malpighiales; Euphorbiaceae. The record is from RNAcentral.